CUAUAAAGAGGGCUUUGGGAUGUAUGGCCACUGGGAGGCUUUCGGGGACAGAAAACUGUUCUCACGGGACGGACUUCACCUGAGUAGGGAAGGAAAUAGACUUCUGGGAGGGAGGCUGGCUCAUCUCAUCAAAAGAGCUUUAAACUAGGAAUUUGGGGGAGACGGCUGGGAGAUGUCCAGUUAAUCUCCACACCAGAUUAUAACAUGGAGAGGGAGGACAAUGAGAUAAGAACAGAUAUAGCCGGGGGGAAGAGAUUGGACAUAAGGGGCGGGGGGAUGGAUACUAGACUAAUAGGUCAUACUAGCAGUACGGUGUCCAUACCAAAUGGGAUAACGAAUGUGAGAGAGGCCAGACGGCAUAAAUUAAGAUGUUUAUACACCAAUGCGAGAAGCCUAGGUAACAAAAUGGAAGAAUUGGAGCUCCUGGUCCAAGAAAUGAAACCGGAUAUCGUAGGAAUAACUGAAACGUGGUGGAACGGUAGUCAUGACUGGAGUACAGGUAUGGAAGGGUAUGUGCUGUUUAGGAAAGACCAGAUCAAAGGUAAAGGUGGGGGAGUAGCAUUGUAUGUCAAUAAUGAGGUAAACUGUAAAGAAAUAAUAAGUGAUGGAAUGGAUAAGACAGAGUCUGUCUGGGCAAUACUCACAUUGGGUAAAAGAACUACUAGAGCCUCCCCUGGGAUAGUGCUUGGGGUGUGCUAUAGACCGCCGGGAUGUAGCCUGGAUAUGGACAGAGAACUCUUUAACGUUUUUAGGGAAGUAAAUUCUAAUAGGAACUGUGUAAUCAUAGGAGACUUUAACUUCCCGGAUAUAGAUUGGGGAACAAAUGCUAGUAACAAUAAUAGGGCUCAGAUUUUCCUAGACGUGACAGCUGAUGAAUUCCUUCAUCAAGUAGUUGCUGAACCAAAGAGGGGGGAUGCCAUUUUAGAUUUGGUUUUGGUGAGUAGUGAGGACCUCGUUGAGGAAAUGGUUGUAGGGGACAACCUUGGCUCGAGUGAUCAUGAGCUAAUUCGGUUUAAACUAAAUGGAAAGAUUAACAGAAUUAAAUCGGAGACUAAAGUUUACGAUUUCAAAAGGGCUAACUUUAAUAAAUUAAGGGGACUAGUUAGGGAAGUGGAUUGGACUAACAUAUUUAGGGAUCUAAAGGCGGAAGGCGCCUGGGAUUAUUUCAAGUUGAAGUUGCAGGAGCUGUCGGAGGCCUGUAUCCCGAGAAAGGGAAAACGGUUCGUAGGCAGGAGAUUUAGAGCAAGCUGGAUGAGCAAGCAUCUCAGAGGGGUCAUUAAGAAAAAACAGAAAGCGUACAGGGAGUGGAAGAUGGGAGGGAUCAGCAAAGAAACCUACCUUAUUGAGGUCAGAGCAUGUAGAGAUGGAAUGAGAAAAGCCAAAAGCCGUGUAGAGUUGGACCUUGCAAGGGGAAUUAAAAGAUGGAGUGGAGAUUAAGGAUAAUCUAGGCAUGGCACAAUAUCUAAAUGAAUAUUUUGCAUCGGUAUUUAAUGAGGCUAAUGAAGGGCUGAGGAAUAGUGGAAGUGAGACGGAUGGGAAUAAAGGAGUGGGGGUUGACA
Long non-coding RNA from Chrysemys picta bellii (western painted turtle), 1559 nucleotides. Lineage: Eukaryota; Metazoa; Chordata; Testudines; Emydidae. The record is from Ensembl.